This 681-nucleotide long non-coding RNA is filed under the name Homo sapiens (human). RNAcentral's name for it is "HSALNT0306891". Lineage: Eukaryota; Metazoa; Chordata; Mammalia; Primates; Hominidae. The record is from RNAcentral.
GAACCUACUUUCAGGAUUUCUCUUUUUGCUGAGAGCUUUCCUUUCACUUAAUAAAUUCUACUCCACUCACUCUUCAAGCCUCCGCAUGCCUACUUCUUCCUGGUUGUAAGACAAGAAGCCAGACCUAGCUGAGCUAAAGAGCAAGAAAUCCUGUGUCAUUUUGGGAGCUCGCACAGGAUGCCUGGAGGGGCUGUCAUGGCACCUCUUUUUAAAUGAUGUUAAGGGUGCUGCUGCAAACUGCAGAGAUAUUACUAUGUAGAAUGAGCAUUUGGCCAAGCCACCAGAUAUGCAAUUCAGGAUAAUGUGAUUUCCAUCUGUUCUUAGAGGCAUCCCUCAGCUCCACCCAAUGGCCACAGGUCACAAUUGGAGAAACUGGUUGUUUUACCAAGGCUUUGACUGGAAGGAUGUGCUUCCCUUUAAGGAAUCAAGCAUGACCUGCAGAACCAAUUAAAGCUCCUUAGGAACUUUGGCCUCAUACCUUGUCUAAAGAGUCCCUGUACAGGGUUCCUAACCUGUGGUGAGUAAAGAAUGUCACUUUCUAACAGGCCCAGGAGCCCUAUGUUCUGGGGACCUCAAGAAGAGAGGAAUUUGCCCAAAUCAUAGGUAUUUCAGAGUACAAAUCCAUGGCUGGGCUAGGCUUUAAAAGGUCUUAUCUGAGAUUCCUUGUAGAACAGAGUUCUA